GUCCCGGUAGUAUAAUGGAUAAAACGGGGGAUUCCGGUUCCUCAGAUGCGGGUUCGAUUCCUGUUCGGGACGCCA
Molecule: transfer RNA, 75 nt
Filed under: Firmicutes bacterium ADurb.Bin099
Lineage: Bacteria; Bacillati; Bacillota
Also listed under: 2 other names
Description: tRNA-Arg
Rfam family: tRNA
About the family: Transfer RNA (tRNA) molecules are approximately 80 nucleotides in length. Their secondary structure includes four short double-helical elements and three loops (D, anti-codon, and T loops).
Source: RNAcentral